This 253-nucleotide ribosomal RNA is filed under the name uncultured bacterium. Its description in RNAcentral is "partial 16S ribosomal RNA". It matches the Rfam family "Bacterial small subunit ribosomal RNA", at positions 524 to 776 of the family's 1533-position model. The record is from RNAcentral.
UACGGAGGGGGCUAGCGUUGUUCGGAAUUACUGGGCGUAAAGCGCACGUAGGCGGCUUUGUAAGUUAGAGGUGAAAGCCCGGGGCUCAACUCCGGAAUUGCCUUUAAGACUGCAUCGCUAGAAUUGUGGAGAGGUAAGUGGAAUUCCGAGUGUAGAGGUGAAAUGCGUAGAGAUCUGGAGGAACACCCGUGGCGAAGGCGGCUCCCUGGUCCGAUUCUGACGCUGAGACGCGAAAGCGCGGGGAGCGAACGGG